This 242-nucleotide ribosomal RNA is filed under the name uncultured bacterium. RNAcentral's name for it is "partial 16S ribosomal RNA". It matches the Rfam family "Bacterial small subunit ribosomal RNA", at positions 15 to 245 of the family's 1533-position model. The record is from RNAcentral.
GAUCAUGGCUCAGGAUGAACGCUAGCUACAGGCUUAACACAUGCAAGGUCGAGGGGCAGCAUUUCAGUUUGCUUGCAAACUGGAGAUGGCGACCGGCGCACGGGUGAGUAACACGUAUCCAACCUGCCGAUAACUCGGGGAUAGCCUUUCGAAAGAAAGAUUAAUACCCGAUGGUAUAAUUAGACCGCAUGGUCUUGUUAUUAAAGGAAUUUCGGUUAUCGAUGGGGAUGCGUUCCAUUAGG